GUUCUUACCUGGCAGGAGAGAUACCAUGAUGGAGAAGGUGGUCUUUCUAGGGCAAGGCUCAUACUUUGCACUUCAGGUAUGCGGGCCUCUUCCAUUUUCUUUCCAGGAAUGAUAGUGGCAAGCUGAGUACAUGAUUUCUACUGCAAAAUAGAAGCAAUUUUAAAAUGCUUUAAC
This 174-nucleotide small nuclear RNA is filed under the name Mus spicilegus (steppe mouse). RNAcentral's name for it is "U1 spliceosomal RNA (ENSMSIG00000027967.1)". The record is from RNAcentral. Lineage: Eukaryota; Metazoa; Chordata; Mammalia; Rodentia; Muridae.